UAGGGAAUCUUCGGCAAUGGACGAAAGUCUGACCGAGCAACGCCGCGUGAGUGAAGAAGGUUUUCGGAUCGUAAAACUCUGUUGUUAGAGAAGAACAAGGACGUUAGUAACUGAACGUCCCCUGACGGUAUCUAACCAGAAAGCCACGGCUAACUACGUGCCAGCAGCCGCGGUAAUACGUAGGUGGCAAGCGUUUUCCGGAUUUAUUGGGCGUAAAGCGAGCGCAGGCGGUUUCUUAAGUCUGAGGUGAAAGCCCCCGGCUCAACCGGGGAGGGUAAUUGGAAACUGGGAGUACUGAGUGCAGAAGAGGAGAGUGGAACUCCAUGUGUAGCGGUUAAAUGCGUAGAUAUAUGGAGGAACACCAGUGGCGAAGGCGGCUAUCUGGUCUGUAACUGACGCUGAGGCUCGAAAGCGUGGGGAGCAAACAGG
RNAcentral lists this ribosomal RNA (429 nucleotides) under Gemmatimonadota bacterium. RNAcentral's name for it is "Gemmatimonadetes bacterium partial 16S ribosomal RNA". It matches the Rfam family "Bacterial small subunit ribosomal RNA", at positions 355 to 776 of the family's 1533-position model. The record is from RNAcentral. Lineage: Bacteria; Pseudomonadati; Gemmatimonadota.